UCCCUGGUGGCUCAGAUGGCAGAGAAUCUGCCUAUAGAGCAGGAGACCUGGGUUUGAUCCCUGGAUUGGGAA
Molecule: transfer RNA, 72 nt
Filed under: Bos taurus (domestic cattle)
Lineage: Eukaryota; Metazoa; Chordata; Mammalia; Artiodactyla; Bovidae
Also listed under: 4 other names
Rfam family: tRNA
About the family: Transfer RNA (tRNA) molecules are approximately 80 nucleotides in length. Their secondary structure includes four short double-helical elements and three loops (D, anti-codon, and T loops).
Source: Rfam by way of RNAcentral